RNAcentral lists this ribosomal RNA (497 nucleotides) under uncultured bacterium. RNAcentral describes it as "partial 16S ribosomal RNA". It matches the Rfam family "Bacterial small subunit ribosomal RNA", at positions 28 to 507 of the family's 1533-position model. The record is from RNAcentral.
GAUGAACGCUGGCGGCGUGCCUAAUACAUGCAAGUCGAGCGAACGGACGAGAAGCUUGCUUCUCUGAUGUUAGCGGCGGACGGGUGAGUAACACGUGGAUAACCUACCUAUAAGACUGGGAUAACUUCGGGAAACCGGAGCUAAUACCGGAUAAUAGUUUGAACCGCAUGGUUCAAAAGUGAAAGACGGUCUUGCUGUCACUUAUAGAUGGAUCCGCGCUGCAUUAGCUAGUUGGUAAGGUAACGGCGUACCAAGGCAACGAUGCAUAGCCGACCUGAGAGGGUGAUCGGCCACACUGGAACUGAGACACGGUCCAGACUCCUACGGGAGGCAGCAGUAGGGAAUCUUCCGCAAUGGGCGAAAGCCUGACGGAGCAACGCCGCGUGAGUGAUGAAGGUCUUCGGAUCGUAAAACUCUGUUAUUAGGGAAGAACAUAUGUGUAAGUAACUGUGCACAUCUUGACGGUACCUAAUCAGAAAGCCACGGCUAACUACGUG